Molecule: unclassified non-coding RNA, 138 nt
Filed under: uncultured Phialophora
Lineage: Eukaryota; Fungi; Ascomycota; Leotiomycetes
Description: sequence contains ITS1
Source: RNAcentral
CUGAGUUUACGCUCUAUAACCCUUUGUGAACUUUAUAAACCUGUUGCUUCGGCGGCGCGCCUCCGGGCGUGCCCGCCGGUGUUCAGAAUCUCUUGUUUCUCUAUGAGUUACCUCUGAGUGUUCCAAAGCGAACUGUUA